UACGUAGGUGGCAAGCGUUGUCCGGAAUUACUGGGCGUAAAGAGCUCGUAGGUGGUUUGUCGCGUUGUUCGUGAAAACUCACAGCUUAACUGUGGGCGUGCGGGCGAUACGGGCAGACUUGAGUACUGCAGGGGAGACUGGAAUUCCUGGUGUAGCGGUGGAAUGCGCAGAUAUCAGGAGGAACACCGGUGGCGAAGGCGGGUCUCUGGGCAGUAACUGACGCUGAGGAGCGAAAGCGUGGGGAGCGAACAGG
This 253-nucleotide ribosomal RNA is filed under the name uncultured bacterium. Its description in RNAcentral is "partial 16S ribosomal RNA". It matches the Rfam family "Bacterial small subunit ribosomal RNA", at positions 524 to 776 of the family's 1533-position model. The record is from RNAcentral.